RNAcentral lists this long non-coding RNA (2527 nucleotides) under Brassica rapa (field mustard). Its description in RNAcentral is "long non-coding RNA (BRAP_LNC007223)". The record is from RNAcentral. Lineage: Eukaryota; Viridiplantae; Streptophyta; Magnoliopsida; Brassicales; Brassicaceae.
GAAAACUGAAACAUCAAACUGAGUGUUCCCAUCCCGUUCGUCUUCGACGAUCAUAUUAUGUAGAAUGAUACAUGCUCUCAUUAUCUUUCCAAUUUUUAUUUUGUCCCACAAAAGAGCUGGAUUUUUUACUAUGGCAAAUCGAGCUUGCAAGACCCCAAAAGCACGUUCGACAUCUUUACGAACACCUUCUUGAUAUGUAGCAAAUAAGGAUGCUUUCGGGCCUUGUGGAUUUCGAAUAGAUUGGACAAAAGUAGCCCAGUUUGGAUAAAUACCAUCUGUAAGAUAGUAAGCCAAACAGUAGUUGUGUCCGUUGACAAUGUAAUUAACUUUUGGAGCUCGACCUUCUAAUAUAUCAUCAAAAACCGGUGAUCGAUCAAGAACAUUGAUAUCGUUUAAGGUACCUGGAGGUCCGAAAAACGCAUGCCAUAUCCAGAGAUCGUGUGAAGCUACAGCCUCUAAAACAAUUGUUGGCUUUCCUGAUCCACGUGUAUAUUGUCCUUUCCAUGCCGUCGGACAAUUCUUCCACUCCCAAUGCAUACAAUCAAUGCUUCCUAUCAUCCCGGGAAAUCCGCGUAUUUCUCCAAUAUCGAGUAGUCGUUGAAGAUCUUCUGGUGUUGGUUUUCUAAGAUACUCAGCUCCAAAUAAAUCUAUGAUUCCUUGAACAAAAUGUUCUAAGCAUAAAAGUGCGGUUGUCUCACCAAGUCGGAGGUACUCGUCGACUGCAUCAGCUGGGCAACCAUAUGCCAUCAUACGAAUUGCUGCUGUUGCCUUUUGUAACGGAGAGUGACCGAACCUUCCCGUAGCAUCUCUUCUUUGUUGAAAGUAUGGGAUUUCAGCGGAGAGUCGAUCAACAAUACGCAUAAACAAAGGCUUGUUCAUGCGAAAACGGCGUCGAAACAUGGAAGACGGAUAUGUUGAAUCUUCCUUAAAAUAAUCGUUCCAUAACUGCAUGUGUCCUUGUUCUCGAUCUCUUUCAAUGUAAGCUCGUUUCUUUUUUGACCUUGAUGCUUCUUGACGCUCACCAUAACGAAUGAGAAGAUUUUCAAAUUGUUGAUCGAAUUUUUGAUCGCAAAUUUGUUCAAAUCUCUCAUCCAUUUCUUCAAAAGGAUCGGAAGAAGAAGAUGCCAUUUAAGAAAGAAAUGUGAAGAAAUAUGAUAAAAAAAUAUGGAAAAAAAUAAACGAGCCUUGUUGUUGUUUUGUUUGGUCGAUACGGUGAAACAAUUUUAAAGAAAAACAAGGAGAUGAAACAACUUGGUCGACUCUCUCUCUCUCGUGUUGUUGUGUUGUUUUAUAAUGAAUACUCUCUCUCAGCUGUUGUGUUGAUUUAUAAAGAAAACUCUUUCUCUGGUGUUGAGUUGAUUUAUAAAGAACAAGACAUACUCACGAGAUACAACAAGACAUCAACUGCUUACACAACAACACAGACUCACAAGAUACAACAAGACAAAAUUAAGACAGUGGCUACACAGACUCACGAGAUACACACUUGCUUUUUGAGUUUGUUUCUUAUGUCACAUGUAUUGGCGGGUUAAUCUCUGCAAAAGCAACAAAAUAAAAUAACCAACAAAGCAGACACAACUCUAACAAGAUAUUCAUCUCUGGUUUGUCUGCAUUUGACGUUAAUAUUUUUUCAUAACUUACCAAACACCACAAAGCAUAAGCAUUAAACCGAAAUAGCGUUAAGCAUUAAAUGUUACAGACUCAGACACAAACCAGUAGCAUCAACAGAAACAAACCGAAAGCAUUAAGAGACACAACCCGAAAGCAUUAACAGACACAACCCGAAAGCAUUAAGAGACACAAACAUAAGCAUAACCAUAAACUCAGACACUGAAACUAAGCCAACAUGUCCUUAAUAAGCUGAUCUUUCAAAGCAAGUUCUAGUUCAGUUAAUGGCUCAGUCUUCAGAAUGAGACCCUGAAGCAAUUUCUGCUUGUUCAGCUUAUCCUUCAGGGCAAAAUCAUUCUGCCUAAGCUCCCACAGGUUGUGAAACUCCUUUUCUUCCUCUUCCAACGUCGGCUUGCUCGCAGGCUUUUUAGCUUUUGCCUUUGCCGCUUUAACCCCAGCAGGCCGUGCGGAAUUAUCAUCCUCUCUUGGCACAGAGGUUGGUAGUGGAUCAACCCCUAGCUUUAUCCUUUUCGACUGCACUUUAUCUUUAGUAGUAGAUGCUCCACGCCAUUUCUGAUCAUGGCGAAGCUCCAACCAUGCGUGCUCCAUUGUGUACUUCUUCUUGUAAUCAUUAAAGUAAAUCGCGUGAGCCAUCUUCAAGACAUCAUCCUCGUUCUGUCCACUCGAUCUCUGUUUUGUUGCAGCUUCAUAGGAGCCAACAAACUUACACACGCCUUCAUUGAUCUUCCCCCACCUUGCUUUACAGUGCACCGGUCCUCUCUUUUGCAAACCAGCGACCUUGGGACUCGCAGCAAAAUAAGAAGCAAUUCGUUUCCAAAACGCAAUUGCUUUCUGCUCAUUCCCUACCACUGGAUCUUUGGAAGUGUUCAACCAAGAACUUAUCAGCACAACAUCUUCC